GGUGUGAAACCUCCAGGCUCAACCUGGAGCCGCCAUUCGAUACUGCCAUGGCUAGGAGUUUGGUAAGGGGACCACGGAACUCCUGGUGUAGCGGUGAAAUGCGCAGAUAUCAGGAAGAACACCAGCGGCGAAGGCGGUGGUCUGGGCCAAUACUGACGCUGAGGAGCGAAAGCGUGGGGAGCGAACAGGAUUAGAUACCCUGGUAGUCCACGCCGUAAACGUUGGGCACUAGGUGUGGGGACCUAUCGACGGUUUCUGUGCCGCAGCUAACGCAUUAAGUGCCCCGCCUGGGGAGUACGGCCGCAAGGCUAAAACUCAAAGGAAUUGACGGGGGCCCGCACAAGCGGCGGAGCAUGUGGCUUAAUUCGAUGCAACGCGAAGAACCUUACCUGGGUUUGAC
RNAcentral lists this ribosomal RNA (400 nucleotides) under uncultured bacterium. RNAcentral's name for it is "bacterial SSU rRNA". It matches the Rfam family "Bacterial small subunit ribosomal RNA", at positions 591 to 985 of the family's 1533-position model. The record is from RNAcentral.